AUUUGAUAUUCCUUUUCUGCGAAACACUGAAAUAGGCAAAAAACAGAAACUGGCACUGGGCUCUAGGUUAAUAGGUUAGUCCCAAAAACCAUAUAAAAGUGCUUAGUAAAGCCCAUUAAACAUCCAAAACAGAUAAUAUAAUAGCAUGGAACAAUAAAAAAUUAUAGAUAUGUUGGAGACGUAUCAGCAUCCCCAAGCUUAAUUCCUGCUCGUCCUCGAGUAGGUAAAUGAUAAAAACAGAAUUUUUGAUGUGGAAUGCCACCUAACAUAUUUAUCAAUGUAAUCUUCUUUAUCGUGGCAAGAAUAUUCAGAUCCAUAAGAUUCAAAACAAAAGUUUAAUAUUGACAUGAAAACAAUAAUACUUCAAGCAUACUAACAGAGCAAUCAUGUCUUCUCGAAAUAACAUGGCCAAAGCAAGCUAUCCCUUCAAAAUCAUAUAGUCUGGCUAUGCUCUAUCUUCAUCACACAAAAUAUUUAAAUCAUGUACAACCCCGAUGACAAGCCAAGCAAUUGUUUCAUACUUUUGAUGUUCUCAAACUUUUUCAAUCUUCACGCAAUACAUGAGCGUGAGUCAUGGACAUAGCACUAUAGGUGGAAUAGAAUGGUGGUUGUGGAGAAGACAAAAAAGGAGAAGAUAGUCUCACAUCAACUAGGCGUAUCAACGUGCUAUGGAGAUGCCCAUCAAUAGAUAUCAAUGUGAGUGAGUAGGGAUUGCCAUGCAACGGAUGCACUAGAGCUAUAAGUGUAUGAAAGCUCAACAAAAGAAAUUAAGUGGGUGUGCAUCCAACUCGCUUGCUCACGAAGACCUAGGGCAUUUUGAGGAAGCCCAUCAUUGGAAUAUACAAGUCAAGUUCUAUAAUGUAAAAUUCCCACUAGUAUAUGAAAGUGACAACAUAGGAGACUCUCUAUCAUGAAGAUCAUGGUAUUUUAUUCAAACAGCAAGCAAAACAAAAUAAAAUAAAAUGACGCUCCAAGCAAAACACAUAUCAUGUGGUGAAUAAAAAUAUAGCUCCAAGUAAAUUUACCAAUGGAUGAGGACGAAAGAGGGGAUGCCUUCCGGGGCAUCCCCGAGAUUUUGCUUUUUGGUGUCCUUGGAUUUACCUUGGGGUGCCUUGGGCAUCCCCAAGUUUAGGCUCUUGCCACUCCUUAUUCCAUAGUCCAUCGAAUCUUUACCCAAAACUUGAAAACUUCACAACACAAAACUUAACAGAAAACUCGUAAGCUCCGUUAGCGGAAGAAAACAAAACACCACUUCAAGGUACUGUAUUGAACUCAUUCUUUAUUUAUAUUGGUGUUAAACUUACUGUAUUCCAACUUCUCUAUGGUUUAUAAGCUCUUUUACUAGCCAUAGAUUCAUCAAAAUAAGCAAACAACACACUAAAAACAGAAUAUGUUAAAAACAGAACAGUCUGUAGUAAUCUGUAACUAAGGCAAACUUCUGGAACUCUAAAAAUUCUGCGAAAAUAGGACGACCUAAAUAAUUUGUUUAUUGAUCUGCUGCAAUUGGAAUAAGUAUCAUAUCAUGUUCUGGUAAUUUUUAACAAUUGUUUUUGUGAACAGAAAGUUUCUGGAAUUUUCAGCAAGAUCAAAUAACUGUUAUCCAAGAAGGUCCUAUAGGUUUAACUUGGCACAAACACUAAUUAAAACAUAAAAACACAUCUAACCAGAGGCUAGAUAGAUUAUUUAUUACUAAACAGAACCAAAAGGCAAGAAACUAAAAUAAAAUUGGGUUGCCUCCCAGCAAGCGCUAUCGUUUAACGCCCCUAGCUAGGCAUGAUGAUUUCAAUGAUGCUCACAUAAGACAUAAGAAUUGUAACAUAAAGAGAGCAUCAUGAAGAAUAUGACUAGCACAUUUAAGUAUAACCCACUUCCUAUGCAUAGGGAUUUUGUGAGCAAACAACUUAUGGGAACAAUAAUCAACUAGCAUAGGAAGGCAAAACAAGCAUAACUUCAAAACUUUAAGCACAUAGAGAGGAAACUUGAUAUGAUUGCAAUUCCUACAAGCAUAUAUUCCUCUCUCAUAAUAAUUUUCAGUAGCAUCAUGAAUGAAUUCAACAAUAUAAUCAGCACCUAAAACAUUCUUUUCAUGAUCUACAAGUAUGGAAUUUUUACUACUCUCCACAUAAGCAAAAUUCUUCUCAUUCGGAAUAGUGGGAGUAUCAUAAGAAACUCGAAUACUAUAAACUGUUUCCACAUUAAAAGAGUAAUAUUCAAAAAAAGGGUAAUCAUAAUCAUGACAAGUUGUAUAAAUAUAAUCAUCACUAUUUUUUAUAGCAUAAGUUCCAUCACAAUAAUCAUCAUAAGUAGCAACUUUGUUCUCAUCAUAAUCAAUUGAAACCUCUUCCAAGAUAGUGGAAUCAUUAGUAAAUAAAGUCAUGGCCUCUCCAAAUCCACUUUCAUAAUUAUCAUAAUAAGAUUCAACAUCCUCCAAAAUCGUGGGAUCAUUACAUCCUAAAGUUGACACUCUUCCAAACCCACUUUCAUCAAUAUAAUCAUCAUAAGUAGGAGGCAUGUUGUCAUCAUUAUAAAUUUGCAUAUCAAAACUUGGGAGACUAAAAAUAUCAUCUUCAUUAAACGUAGCAUCCCCAAGCUUGGGACAAACAUUAAUUGCAGCAAAUAUAUUCUCAAAAACAUCAUCUUCAUCAAACAUAGCAUCCCCAAGUUUGGGCCUUUUCAUAUCACAAGCAUAAUCACUCUCAUCAUUAAUAGUAUGGAUAGCACCAAUAGUAUAGCAAUUAUCAUCAUCACAAUGAGUAAUAGGAGCAACAUAAUUUGGGAGAGAUACCUUUCUACCUUUGCUUCUCCUUCUUUUCUUUUUCUUCUUCACAUCAUGUGUGGGUUCAAUCCUCUUUUUGAAACUCCUUUUUAAUGAGAUUGGUUGAAUAGAAGGCUCCUCCUCGUUACCUGAUUCAUCAUAAGAAAUAACAGGAGGAUAUUGGGAAGUCUCUUCCCUUUCAUCAGUAUUCUCUUCAUCUUUUAUUUGUUUUCUUUUCUUUAUGUAAUUGGCAAUAUAAGGAUUUUCAAUGCAAUUCACCACACAAUACAUAUAAAUUUCUUCUAGAUCAAUAUCGAGGAAUUUCUCAAGGUUAUAUUCUGGAAUACCCUCAGUUGCACGUUUCAUUUCUUCAUAACCCAAAAGCAAACUAAGUUCAUUAUGAUGUGCAAAGGAAAUCAAGUCAUCACAAUUUUUGGACACGAUCCGAUCAUGAAACAAUUUGCAUUGGGUACUGAAAUGAUCACGUUCAUUGCAAAGUUCACAAGUACGGCUAAGAAAGUUUAAAUUUUCAGCACAAACAUCUAGCCUUUCUUGCAAUCAUUUAGUUUCCAAAUACUUAUGCCUCUUGCAAAAUCUAUUUUCCCUAAUUGGUGUGUACUUGCAAGCUCUAUGCACUCCGCAAAAAUCAACAUGCUUAUAAGAGACAUUCUCAUCAUGACUAGUGCAAUCAUCAUUAGUACUAUGGAUAUUCAAAGAGUUCAUACUAACAACAUUGCAAUCAUGCUCAUCAUUCAAAGAUUUAGUGCCAAACAUUUUAAUGCAUUUUUCUUCUAACACUUCGGCACAAUUUUCCUUUCCAUCACUCUCACGAAAGAUAUUAAAAAGAUGAAGCGUAUGAGGCAAACUCAAUUCCAUUUUUUUGUAGUUUUCUUUUAUAGACUAAACUAGUGAUAAAAUAAGAAACAAAAAUAUUCGAUUGCAAGAUCUAAAGAUAUACCUUCAAGCACUCACCUCCCCGGCAACGGCGCCAGAAAAGAGCUUGAUGUCUACUACGCAACUUUCUUCUUGUAGACGUUGUUGGGCCUCCAAGUGCAGAGGUUUGUAGGACAGUAGCAAAUUUCUCUCAAGUGGAUGACCUAAGUUUAUCAAUCCGUGGGAGGCGUAGGAUGAAGAUGGUCUCUCGCAAACAACCCUGCAACCAAAUAACAAAGAGUCUCUUGUGUCCCCAACACACGCAAUACAAUGGUAAAUUAUAUAGGUGCACUAGUUCGGCGAAGAGAUGGUGAUACAAGUGCAAUAUGGAUGAUAGAUAUAGGUUUUUGUAAUCUGAAAAUAUAAAAACAGCAAGGUAACAAGUAAUAAAAGUGAGCACAAACGGUAUUGCAAUGCGUUGAAACAAGGCCUAGGGUUCAUACUUUCACUAGUGCAAGUUCUCUCAACAAUAAUAACAUAAUUGGAUCAUAUAACAAUCCCUCAACAUGCAACAAAGAGCCACUCCAAAGUCACUAAUAGCGGAGAACAAACGAAGAGAUUAUUGUAGGGUACAAAACCACCUCAAAGUUAUCCUUUCUGAUCGAUCUAUUUAAGAGUCUGUAGUAAAAUAACACGAAGCUAUUCUUUCUAUUUGAUCUAUCAUAGAGUUCGUACUAGAAUAAUACCUUAAGACACAAAUCAACCAAAACCUUAAUGUCACCUAGAUACUCCAAUGUCAGCUCAAGUAUCCGUGGCUAUGAUUAUACGAUAUGCAUCAAACAAUCUCAGAUUCAUUUAUUCAACCAACACAUAGAACUUCAAAGAGUGCCCCAAAGUUUCUACCGGAGAGUCAAGACGAAAGCGUGUACCAACCCCUAUGCAUAAGUUCACGAGCGGAACCCGCAAGUUUACCACCAAAACAUACAUCAAGUGGAUCACGUGAAUAUCCCAUUGUCACCACAGAUAAGCACGACAAGACAUAUAUCAAGUGUUCUCAAAUCCCUAAAGACUCAAUCCGACAAGACAACUUCAAGGGGAAAACUCAAUCCGUUACAAGAGAGUAGAGGGGGAGAAACACCAUAAGAUCCAACUAAAAUAACAAAGCUCGCGAUACAUCAAGAUCUUACCAUCUCAAGAACACGAGAGAGAGAGAGAGAACGAUCAAACACAUAGCUACUGGUACAUACCCUCAGCCCCGAGGGUGAACUACUCCCUCCUCGUCAUGGAGAGCGCCGAGAUGAUGAAGAUGGCCACCGGUGAGGGAUUCCCCCUCCGGCAGGGUGCCGGAACAGGGUCCCGAUUGGUUUUUGGUGGCUACAGAGGCUUGCGGCGGUGGAACUCCCGAUCUAUUCUGUUCCCCGAAGUUUUUAGGGUAUAUAUAUAUAUAUGCGAAAGAAGACGGUCAGGGGAGCCACGAGGGGCCCACGAGGGUGCGGGCACGCCAGGGGGGCAGGCGCGCCUCCCUGCCUCGUGGCCACCUCGAAGCUUCCCUGACGUGUACUCCAAGUCUCCUGGAUUGCUUUCGUUCCAAAAAUAACUCUCCCGAAGGUUUCAUUCCUUUUGGACUCCGUUUGAUAUUCCUUUUCUGCGAAACACUGAAAUAGGCAAAAAAACAGAAACUGGCACUGGGCUCUAGGUUAAUAGGUUAGUCCCAAAAAUCAUAUAAAAGUGCUUAGUAAAGCCCAUUAAACAUCCAAAACAAAUAAUAUAAUAGCAUGGAACAAUCAAAAAUUAUAGAUAUGUUGGAGACGUAUCAAAAUGUACCCAGCAAGACUUACAUCAGAACUAGCUACAUAUGCAUCAGUAUCAACAAAGGGGGUGGUGGAGUUUAACUGCAGCAAGCCAGCUUUGACUCGGUGGCUAUCCUGAACUACGACUGCAAGUAACUCUUUUGAGGUGGCGCACACGAGUCCACAUGUUUACCAUAUCAAUACACCACUAUGGAUCCGCUCCUGUCACCCUACGAGAAGGCCAUCCAUAGCACUCACGCUUAUCUUGCGCAUUUUAGAGUAUCCACUUUCACUUGUCUAUGAACUGUAUAGGCAACCCAGAGGUCCUUUACCG
RNAcentral lists this long non-coding RNA (5752 nucleotides) under Triticum aestivum (bread wheat). RNAcentral describes it as "long non-coding RNA (TAES_LNC024292)". Lineage: Eukaryota; Viridiplantae; Streptophyta; Magnoliopsida; Poales; Poaceae. The record is from RNAcentral.